RNAcentral lists this ribosomal RNA (508 nucleotides) under uncultured bacterium. RNAcentral's name for it is "partial 16S ribosomal RNA". It matches the Rfam family "Bacterial small subunit ribosomal RNA", at positions 28 to 523 of the family's 1533-position model. The record is from RNAcentral.
GAUGAACGCUAGCUACAGGCUUAACACAUGCAAGUCGAGGGGAAACGAUAGAGAAAGCUUGCUUUUUCUAGGCGUCGACCGGCGCACGGGUGAGUAACGCGUAUCCAACCUGCCCAUCACUUGGGGAUAACCUUGCGAAAGUAAGACUAAUACCCAAUGACGUCCAUAGAAGACAUCUGAAAGGGAUUAAAGAUUUAUCGGUGAUGGAUGGGGAUGCGUCUGAUUAGCUUGUUGGCGGGGUAACGGCCCACCAAGGCGACGAUCAGUAGGGGUUCUGAGAGGAAGGUCCCCCACAUUGGAACUGGGACACGGUCCAAACUCCUACGGGAGGCAGCAGUGAGGAAUAUUGGUCAAUGGGCGAGAGCCUGAACCAGCCAAGUAGCGUGCAGGAUGACGGCCCUAUGGGUUGUAAACUGCUUUUAUAAGGGUAUAAAGUGAGCCUCGUGAGGCUUUUUGCAUGUACCUUAUGAAUAAGGACCGGCUAAUUCCGUGCCAGCAGCCGCGGUAA